Molecule: long non-coding RNA, 622 nt
Organism: Planococcus citri (citrus mealybug)
Lineage: Eukaryota; Metazoa; Arthropoda; Insecta; Hemiptera; Pseudococcidae
Exons: 2
Source: RefSeq, a predicted model, not a curated record
UUCAUUCAGUUGUUUGUUACACGUUGUACAAGUGAAAACCUUCUUUAUUUUCAUUCCACCACAAUGAUGAAAAGUAUUUCCAUUCUCUUAAUCAUCUCGGCCAGCGUACAGUGCGCUGUACUUCCAAACCAACUAGAAGCAAAACGCGUACCCGAGGAUAAAAUUAUUACCUCUAAAAAAGCAAGCGCUUUUCCAGUAGCUGACCUAGAAAUCGGUGAUGUACAGGAACACUGGAUAAACGGAACUAACGGCGUUAUAGAUUGCGAUGGGAAAGAGGUUGUUCCGAAUGAUGAAAUUUUCAAAGCUGGCAGAGUGGAGAUACUUAUCAGUCAGGAUGAAAUUCGCAUCAAUAAUAACAGGAUUCUUCGGAGAGAAAGCACUAAUCCAUCGUAUCAUAUCACAAAUACUACACUCUUCUCUAAUACGAGUUGGUUUAUACUUGCGAUAUAUGAAAGUGGUAAAAUUUUCUUUCAAGAUGAAAAAACGAGUUUUGUGAUUCCUGUCACGGGAGUUUCACUUACUCGUAUAUCUAAGUAACCCUGAAUAAAUUCGAAUGUUGGUAAUAUAUGUACUUAUGUUUUGAAUGCUUUCAAAUUGAUAAAUAAAUUAAUGUUGUCACUUA